Molecule: ribosomal RNA, 698 nt
Filed under: uncultured Limnohabitans sp.
Lineage: Bacteria; Pseudomonadati; Pseudomonadota; Betaproteobacteria; Burkholderiales; Comamonadaceae
Description: bacterial SSU rRNA
Rfam family: Bacterial small subunit ribosomal RNA
Source: RNAcentral
AGAGUUUGAUCCUGGCUCAGAUUGAACGCUGGCGGAAUGCUUUACACAUGCAAGUCGAACGGUAGAGGGGGCAACCCCUUGAGAGUGGCGAACGGGUGAGUAAUAUAUCGGAACGUGCCCAGUCGUGGGGGAUAACGUAGCGAAAGUUACGCUAAUACCGCAUACGAUCUAAGGAUGAAAGCGGGGGAUCGCAAGACCUCGCGCGAUUGGAGCGGCCGAUAUCAGAUUAGGUAGUUGGUGGGGUAAAGGCUCACCAAGCCAACGAUCUGUAGCUGGUCUGAGAGGACGACCAGCCACACUGGAACUGAGACACGGUCCAGACUCCUACGGGAGGCAGCAGUGGGGAAUUUUGGACAAUGGACGCAAGUCUGAUCCAGCCAUUCCGCGUGCAGGAUGAAGGCCCUCGGGUUGUAAACUGCUUUUGUACGGAACGAAAAGGUUUCCAUUAAUACUGGGGGCUCAUGACGGUACCGUAAGAAUAAGCACCGGCUAACUACGUGCCAGCAGCCGCGGUAAUACGUAGGGUGCAAGCGUUAAUCGGAAUUACUGGGCGUAAAGCGUGCGCAGGCGGUUAUGUAAGACAGAGGUGAAAUCCCCGGGCUCAACCUGGGAACUGCCUUUGUGACUGCAUAGCUAGAGUACGGUAGAGGGGGAUGGAAUUCCGCGUGUAGCAGUGAAAUGCGUAGAUAUGCGGAGGA